AUUGAACGCUGGCGGCAGGCCUAACACAUGCAAGUCGAACGGUAACAGGAAGAAGCUUGCUUCUUUGCUGACGAGUGGCGGACGGGUGAGUAAUGUCUGGGAAACUGCCUGAUGGAGGGGGAUAACUACUGGAAACGGUAGCUAAUACCGCAUAACGUCGCAAGACCAAACAGGGGGACCUUCGGGCCUCUUGCCAUCGGAUGUGCCCAGAUGGGAUUAGCUAGUAGGUGGGGUAACGGCUCACCUAGGCGACGAUCCGUAGCUGGUCUGAGAGGAUGACCGGCCACACUGGAACUGGGACACGGUCCAGACUCCUACGGGAGGCAGCAGUGGGGAAUAUUGCACAAUGGGCGCAAGCCUGAUGCAGCCAUGCCGCGUGUAUGAAGAAGGCCUUCGGGUUGUAAAGUACUUUCAGCGGGGAGGAAGGGAGUAAAGUUAAUACCUUUGCUCAUUGACGUUACCCGCAGAAGAAGCACCGGCUAACUCCGUG
RNAcentral lists this ribosomal RNA (490 nucleotides) under uncultured bacterium. RNAcentral's name for it is "partial 16S ribosomal RNA". It matches the Rfam family "Bacterial small subunit ribosomal RNA", at positions 30 to 507 of the family's 1533-position model. The record is from RNAcentral.